GUUUUUCUCCAUGGCACUUAUAACCACCCAGCAAAUCAUGUUUGUUUAUUGUCUCUUUCCCCUGAUUAGCAUAGAACCUUCAUGAGGACAAGGAGUUUGUUUUUUCUGACUGCUGUACUCCUAAUACCUAAAGAAGUUCAUGGGUCAUUAUAGGCGCUCAGUAUUUAUUCGAUGGACAGGUGGACAGACAGAUGGACGGAGGGACGGAUGGACAGAUGAUGGUGACAAACAUAUUCAGCUCCUGCGUGCUGGGUACUAUGUGCAGCUGUUUACUCACGUUACCAUCUUUCAUCCUCACAAUUCUGUUGCGAGCCACUGUGGCCGUGACUCAGCAGAUCUGGAGUCCCUCCCAGGCACCCAGCAAGUGUCGGCAGCGCUCAGAGGCUUCUGGUACAGACGGUCCUGAGACACACUGUCCUACACAAAGUCGCCUCCAGAAGACCUGUCACCUUGCCAUUUAUAGAGUGUGGACAAGGGGAUAGUGAGGACCCCAGAACCCCUCCAACAGCAUAGCCGUCCACAAAGCCCUCCUUAGAAGACGGAUGUCUCCAGGGGUAAGGCACACCCGAUAGAGUGUGAACAUACCUGGAGACCAUGUAUUUCCUUCCCAAAAGAGAGGACCCCAGAAACCAAAUUGAUGGCCAAGUGGCAGGAAGUGGGAGCCCUGUGCUGCUGCACCCCUUGGACAGGUCUCUUUGUGGUGCACAGGCUAUGCGGCUCCAGCCCUGCGGCUUCCCUGUGCCCAGGCUCUCCUACACUCACCAUGCAGUUGCUGUUCACCAUCGGAAAGGUCUUUGGAUUUGUCUAACUGUGGCAGCAGCCCAUUUUAUGAGAUGCUUCUUGCUCGCUUCCCCAGAGCAUUGUGUUGGGCAAACUGAGGAGCCGAGAGGGCAAGAGAGCCAGCAGGAGCAGCCACGAUGCACCACGUACACAUGGAAGUACCCCACCGUGGCCCCCAACCUGAGACUCUGUGGCUUGCAGUGACCCAGGGAGAUCCAGAACAUCGCAUUACCCGAGCAGACAGUGUCUGUAAGUGGAUGCCAUCCAGUCAGUCCUUGCCCUGGAGUCUCCAGGCCUUAGGCUGGCCCCACAGCGGCCUGAACACAGGUGCCUCAGCCUCUCCCCUCUUUGGUGCCCGAAGAGGAAUUAUGUCCAGUCAGCCUAGUGACACCUCAGCCAGCAGCAGGGCAAAGGCAAGAGGGCCACACUCCAGGGUCAAGCGAGGACAGAAGGGCCAGAGUUCCCAUUAGUUCAGCAUAGCAGAAGCCCAGGAAAAAAACAAUUUUAUUUUUCUUAAAAUAAUUUGAUCAGCAUAUAUUUGUAAUUGAAAUAGUCUUUAUGGGAAAAGUGAACAAGUUGUUAGACUUCCUUACAUUUAUUUGGUGGCUUAGAAAUGUUUUUUCUUUUUAAUGGGGGCAAGGAGGGUGUUGAGUAGAGGCACUCUAAUCGUUUUAGUGCUUAGAGUCUUUAAAGGUCCUAAUCCUUUAAAGGUCCUCCUUUAAAGGUCUGCCCCAAACAGGGACACGUAAUCUGUGCUCAGUCCCUCAACAUUCUUAAGCAGCUGGUUCAAGACAAAGUCAUGCUCUGGCAGUGGAGCUGAUACUAAUAAGGAAUGUGGAAAAGCAUUGCGUCUGAGGGAAAGCCAGUGUGGCCAAAACAAGCUGUGGAAAUUAAAUCUGUCGAUGACCAGAUUGAGCUCAUACUUCUGUACCACGUUAGAGAAGACCUAAGAAGCUCAUUCUCUCAUUUAUUCACCCAUUCUCUAGUGAGCCUCUGUAACAUUUGCAGCCCAGCCACCAUUUGCAUUCCUUCUGGUAAUUGCUGUCUGUACUUUCACUUCUCCUUGAGGAAUGGGCCAUCUCCUAGCUCAGCCCACACACCAGUCAGCACGUUCCAUCCACAGGCCAUGGUGACUGGGUCAGGGAGGAACAAGCGACCCGAGUCAGGCCAAUCCCAGCCAACAAGACCCAAUUCUGGGGCAUCUGUUCCAGCUACUGGAAACCACUCUUCUGCUUCUGAUGUGGCCUGAAUAUGACGCCAACCCAGAGGAAGCUGGCUGAGAGGUGGUUCCAAAUGGCAUCAUGUGAGCCCCAACACCAGCUAUGCCUCUACCUCCAGACUGUGAAGUUCCAUGAGCAACAAGCUCUCUUUGCUUAAGCAAAACACAAGUCACUAGGAGUUGAAUUUCUGGCAUUCGAUGCCAAAACAGUACUUCAAGGGGAGCCAUGCUCUUCCCACACUGGGCUGUUAGCUCCUGGGGCUGGACUUGGUCCAUUCACAUUGAUAUCCCCUCCACACCCAUGGCCUGCAGCAGUGGUUCUCAGGGUGGGGGCACGACCGGGAGGGAGGCAUUUCGCACAUUGGUGGGGGUGUUUUUGGUUUUCACAAUGACUGGGGAACCCAACUGGUGCUCCUGGUGGGAGCCCACCAGGCUCGACUUCCUGCAGUGUGUGGCUGGGGUAAGACUGGUCUUGGUCUAGUUCAGAACUUUACCAAGAGCUGUUCAUCAUUUUGAAAACUCAUGCCAAAGAUGGCCACCCCACCCCACCCUACCUGCCCUACUGAGUCACCAUGCACCACCACACACCUGUGCCUGUCACAUGGCAGUGACUGCCCAAGGCCACGUGCAUCAGACUUCUUUUAAUGUCUCCUGGUGUAGUCUGCCCAAGCACUUACAUAUGGA
Long non-coding RNA from Equus caballus (horse), 2683 nucleotides. NCBI's taxonomy places the organism in Eukaryota, Metazoa, Chordata, Mammalia, Perissodactyla, Equidae. The record is from Ensembl.